Long non-coding RNA from Oenanthe melanoleuca, 453 nucleotides. RefSeq lists it as uncharacterized. The record is from RefSeq and is a predicted model, not a curated record. The transcript has 5 exons. NCBI's taxonomy places the organism in Eukaryota, Metazoa, Chordata, Aves, Passeriformes, Muscicapidae.
CCGCUGGUGGGACACCCUCCAGAACCUACUCUGUGCCUGGAACUGGCAGACUCUCUGAAUACUUUCGCCUUCCACGUGUACCCCAAGGAAUCCGUAAACCUCGUGGUCCUGAUCCUCAUGCAUCCUGGGAAGAACCCAGACAGAGAUCCGACGCUUUGUCAAGAAGUGACAUACCCUCUGGUAGGACGCCCUACAGAACCUACAACUUGCAUGGAACUGACACAAACUCUGAAUCUUUUCCACUUGGCUUUGUAUCUCGAGAAGCCAGUACUCCUCUUGAUCCUGCUCCUGAUGCAUGCUGUGGACAGCCUACACACGCAGCCUACAAUUUGUUAGGAAUUGACAAACCCGCUGGUGGGACACCCUCCAGAACCUACUCUGUGCCUGGAACUGGCAGAAUCUCUGGUGUGUCACCCUAAAGAACCUAUACUGUGUCUGGAACCAACACAGCCU